UACGAAGGGGGCUAGCGUUGUUCGGAAUUACUGGGCGUAAAGGGCGCGUAGGCGGCCAUUCAAGUUAGGUGUGAAAGCCCUGGGCUCAACCUAGGAAUUGCACUUGAUACUGUUUGGCUUGAGUUCGGGAGAGGUGAGUGGAAUUCCCAGUGUAGAGGUGAAAUUCGUAGAUAUUGGGAAGAACACCGGUGGCGAAGGCGGCGACCUGGUCCUUGACUGACGCUGAGGCGCGAAAGCGUGGGGAGCAAACAGG
This 253-nucleotide ribosomal RNA is filed under the name uncultured bacterium. RNAcentral's name for it is "partial 16S ribosomal RNA". It matches the Rfam family "Bacterial small subunit ribosomal RNA", at positions 524 to 776 of the family's 1533-position model. The record is from RNAcentral.